This 281-nucleotide long non-coding RNA is filed under the name Brassica napus (rape). RNAcentral describes it as "long non-coding RNA (BNAP_LNC026349)". Lineage: Eukaryota; Viridiplantae; Streptophyta; Magnoliopsida; Brassicales; Brassicaceae. The record is from RNAcentral.
UUUAAGAUUUAGGGUUUAGGGUUUAGGGUUUAGAGUUUAGGGUUUAAGGUUUAGAUUUUAGGGUUUAGGGUUUAGGGUUUAGGGUUUAGAGUUUAGGGUUUAGGGUUUAGGGUUUAGAGUUGAGAAAUGAGGUUUUUGGGAUAAGAUUUCAAAUUUUGAAAAAUAAAAAAAUUAAAAUUUUCAAAUGAUAAACUUAGAAAUAUGCUAUUUUGGUCAUUUUAGUUUUUGAGUAUUAUUUUUGUGAUAUAAACUUAGAAAUGUGCUAUUUUGGAGAUUUGCCC